UCAGUCCUAGAAACACUGAUGAAUAAGGGGUGGGCAAGUUCUGGUGUCAGCCGCCGCGGUAAAACCAGCACCUCAAGUGGUCAGGAUGAUUAUUGGGCCUAAAGCAUCCGUAGCCGGCUCUGUAAGUUUUCGGUUAAAUCUGUACGCUCAACGUACAGGCUGCCGGGAAUACUGCAGAGCUAGGGAGUGGGAGAGGUAGACGGUACUCGGUAGGAAGGGGUAAAAUCCUUUGAUCUAUUGAUGACCACCUGUGGCGAAGGCGGUCUACCAGAACACGUCCGACGGUGAGGGAUGAAAGCUGGGGGAGCAAACCGGAUUAGAUACUCGGGUAGUCCCAGCUGUAAACGAUGCAAACUCGAUGAUGCGUUGGCUUGUUGCUAGCGCAGUGUCGCAGGGAAGCCGUUAAGUUUGCCGCCUGGGAAGUACGUACGUUAGUAUGAAACUUAAAGGAAUUGGCGGGGGGGCACCACAAGGGGUGAAGCCUGCGGUUCAAUUGGAGUCAACGCCGGAAAUC
RNAcentral lists this ribosomal RNA (514 nucleotides) under uncultured marine group I thaumarchaeote. RNAcentral describes it as "bacterial SSU rRNA". It matches the Rfam family "Archaeal small subunit ribosomal RNA", at positions 413 to 926 of the family's 1478-position model. The record is from RNAcentral. Lineage: Archaea; Thermoproteati; Nitrososphaerota.